GGAGAGGUCGCAUAGUGGACGAGUGCGCUUGUCUUGAAAACAAGUGAGGGCGCAAGCUCUCCGUGGGUUCGAAUCCCACCCUCUCCG
This 87-nucleotide transfer RNA is filed under the name Candidatus Gottesmanbacteria bacterium. RNAcentral's name for it is "tRNA-Ser". It matches the Rfam family "tRNA". From Rfam's summary of the family: Transfer RNA (tRNA) molecules are approximately 80 nucleotides in length. Their secondary structure includes four short double-helical elements and three loops (D, anti-codon, and T loops). The record is from RNAcentral. Lineage: Bacteria; Candidatus Gottesmaniibacteriota.